UCGGGCAUGGUGUACGGUACACCGCCUCCUCUCCUAGACGGGCUUGGAUGUUCGGCGAGGCAGCCCGGGGUUCGACUCCCCGUGUCCGAC
Mycena latifolia is the source of this 90-nucleotide non-coding RNA. NCBI's taxonomy places the organism in Eukaryota, Fungi, Basidiomycota, Agaricomycetes, Agaricales, Mycenaceae. The record is from the annotation of a GenBank genome assembly.